ACAAGGUGACCUGCUAUCGCCAUAUCUCUUCCUCUUAUGCCCUGAGGGUCUGUCCUCUUUAUUAAGAAAAUUUUAGGAUCAAUAGUUAAAUACAUAGGUGUUGAGUUUUUAGGAGAGCUCCUUCGGUUUCACAUCUUUUUCUCGCGGAUGAUAGCCUACUAUUUCUUAAGGCUAACAAGGAGGAAUAUGGCAGAAUCAAAGAGUGUCUAA
RNAcentral lists this unclassified non-coding RNA (210 nucleotides) under Hevea brasiliensis (rubber tree). The record is from RNAcentral. Lineage: Eukaryota; Viridiplantae; Streptophyta; Magnoliopsida; Malpighiales; Euphorbiaceae.